RNAcentral lists this ribosomal RNA (305 nucleotides) under uncultured bacterium. Its description in RNAcentral is "bacterial SSU rRNA". It matches the Rfam family "Bacterial small subunit ribosomal RNA", at positions 338 to 639 of the family's 1533-position model. The record is from RNAcentral.
CCUACGGGGCGCAGCAGUGAGGAAUAUUGGUCAAUGGGCGAGAGCCUGAACCAGCCAAGUCGCGUGAAGGAUGACGGCCCUACGGGUUGUAAACUUCUUUUGUCAGGGAGCAAUUGGGUCCACGUGUGGGCUUAGCGAGAGUACCUGAAGAAGAAGCAUCGGCUAACUCCGUGCCAGCAGCCGCGGUAAUAUGGAGGAUCCGAGCGUUAUCCGGAUUUAUUGGGUUUAAAGGGAGCGUAGAUGGGUUGUUAAGUCAGUUGUGAAAGUUUGCGGCUCAACCGUAAAAUUGCAAUUGAUACUGGCGU